AGCUCCAGUAGCGUAUAUUAAAGUUGUUGCAGUUAAAAAGCUCGUAGUUGGAUUUCUGAUUUAACGCCCUAGUCUGCGGCAAGUUGUCGUUUGUGCUGGUGUGCGUUUAUCUUCCUUCUAGAAAGGCUUGCGGCGUCAUCGUGCGUCCGUUUGUUCGAUCUAGAUCUUUUACUUUGAAUAAAUUAGAGUGUUCAAAGCAGGCAAUCGCUGUGAAUACAUUAGCAUGGAAUAAUAAUAUAGGACUUCGCUUCUAUUUUGUUGGUUUUCAGAACGAAGUAAUGAUUGAUAGGGAUAGUUGGGGGUGCUAGUAUUGGCCGGCUAGAGGUGAAAUUCGUAUUCGGCUAAGACUAACUUAUGCGAAAGCAUUCACCAAGGAUGUCUUCUUUA
This 387-nucleotide ribosomal RNA is filed under the name Ventrifissura sp. RNAcentral's name for it is "partial small subunit ribosomal RNA". It matches the Rfam family "Eukaryotic small subunit ribosomal RNA", at positions 587 to 975 of the family's 1831-position model. The record is from RNAcentral. Lineage: Eukaryota; Cercozoa; Thecofilosea; Ventricleftida; Ventrifissuridae.